GCCGGCAGCUAUAUCACCCUGUAGCCCAAGACUGGUUGCCCACUGAAGCUAAGCAGGGCUGAGCCUGGUCAGUACCUGGAUGGGAGACCUCCUGGGAAAACUAGGUUGCUGCUGGAA
Molecule: ribosomal RNA, 117 nt
Filed under: Sinocyclocheilus grahami
Lineage: Eukaryota; Metazoa; Chordata; Actinopteri; Cypriniformes; Cyprinidae
Source: RNAcentral